GCUAAUAAUGGUAUUCUACGUGUGUCAGCCUCGUGUGGACUUCUGUAAUGACUAAUGGAUAUGUUUAUAUCCUGAGCAUUUGCUGUAGGAAUUUUAAAUGCAAUCCCAAAACUCAAGAUUACCUUAUUUGGAGAAAUAUUCGUGUUACUAUGUUUAAAAUUUAAUAGAACCAUAUUUUACCUUUCACUUUGGGACUCGCACAGGAUGUUUGCAGCUCUUGAUAUACAGGAACUAGAACGUGUCUUUUAAGAGCAUGCGGUUUUAUAAUUACGUGGAAGUAUGCUACGCAAGGGAAAAAAGCCUCUUGCUAGUGUUAAGGGUCUUCAUAAACAGAAACCGCAAGGAACCUGGGAUCUGACAGCUGUUGGAGGAAUGCCUGUGAGGAAGGAGGAGGAACAGAAGAAUGCUUUGAUGUCUUAAAUGGUACAUCCAAACUUAAGUGAAAUAGAGCUGUGAGGACAUUUUGGGGAGAAGUGACCUAGAUAAGCACUGACUGUUGCAUUCAUCUCUCUUCUUGCUGAUUGUGAUGAUUUCCUGUGCCAUAGCCAUUCAAAGUCUGCCAAAAAAGCUAGCAUGUAAUUUUCUUUCUCUACUUCUCUACAUUUGGAGGAUGGAAAUGUAGAUGUUCUUCCAUUGUGCCAGCCUCCUCAUUCUUCUUUCUCCAAUGCCGCAUCUUCCUGCAAACUUCCUGCCACAACUCAAACAACAGGAAAAUAAAUGAUCUGAAAUCCUCCUGAACUGCAGCCUACCUAUCGUGGUCUCUAUGGGUGCAAACUUCCUUCCAGAAGCUUGUUCAGCUGGCUAAAACAGGACAUUUGCCAAUGCAGCCAAAAGUUGGGUCUUAUACUGGCUACCUCCUAUGCAGAGUGAAAAACUUUUCUUUCUCCCACAGCCACAGACAUCGCUCCUCUUCCAGCUCAACAUCUUUCAAAGGGAUGGCUCUCAGUCCCGAAAUGAAAAGAAAAGGUGGCUUGGUGCAAAUCAUUCUCUUUAUCAGCAAAAGAAAUACCAAAGCCUGUGUCCUUCUGACAUAGUGAGCUGUCGAGGUAGUCCAGGGAAAAGAUGACAGUGAAUUGAGUUAUGGGAUGGCAAUGGAGACUGAAAAGAAUCUGUGUUUAUUAUAUGUAUAUAUAUCAUUAAGGUAGAACUAGUGGAUUUUCUCUGGCACUGCACAUGGGAAGCAAGUGAAGGAGAGUGAUCUAGAAUGACGCCACCAUUUUUGCCUGAGAAAUUCAGUACUCAGAGGUGUCUGUCAUUCAGAGAGAUGGAGGAAACAAGAAGAGGAGCAAGUUGGGGGAGAGGAAGAAGAAAUGUAGACACAGAU
RNAcentral lists this long non-coding RNA (1324 nucleotides) under Homo sapiens (human). RNAcentral's name for it is "LYPLAL1 divergent transcript". Lineage: Eukaryota; Metazoa; Chordata; Mammalia; Primates; Hominidae. The record is from RNAcentral.